UCUCCGUUUGUGAACAAGCGGAGGGAUUAUUACAGAGUUUUUAAAUCACAAACCCAUGUGAACUUACCAUUGUUGCCUCGGCGGAGCCUACCCUGUAGCUACCCUGUAGGGUGGUUACCCUGUAGCGCCCCGCCGGUGGAUUUUCAAACUCUUGUUAUUUUUAGUAAUCUGAGCGUCUUAUUUUAAAUAAGUCAAAACUUUCAACAACGGAUCUCUUGGUUCUGGCAUCGAUGAAGAACGCAGC
RNAcentral lists this unclassified non-coding RNA (244 nucleotides) under uncultured fungus. RNAcentral describes it as "sequence contains ITS1, 5.8S rRNA gene". The stretch from base 196 to 244 matches the Rfam family "5.8S ribosomal RNA", at positions 1 to 49 of the family's 154-position model. The record is from RNAcentral. Lineage: Eukaryota; Fungi.